GGGACUUCUCUCUCUGCAAGCAUAGCCUCAAAGCACCUCUGAUGGAUGGCUCCCAAGACAUUUCAUUGCUUGAAGUUCAGCAAGUUUGAAUUACCCUCUAGACAUCAACAUUAACUUCACAGGGUAGACCCUUAUCCUGUCUGACUGGCACCCUUAUAACAGGAUAUCUGAACACACAAGAGAGACCAGGGAUAUUCACACACAGAGGAAAGACCGUGUGAGAACAUGGUGAGAAGGCAGCCAUCUGCAAGCCAAAGAGAGAGGCCUCAGGAGAAACCAAUGCUGCCAACGCCUUGACCUUGGCCUUCCAGCCUCCAGAACUGUGAGAAAAUAAAUUUCUGUUGCGUAAGCCCCCCAGUCUGUAGUAUUUUGUUACGGC
Molecule: long non-coding RNA, 379 nt
Filed under: Homo sapiens (human)
Lineage: Eukaryota; Metazoa; Chordata; Mammalia; Primates; Hominidae
Description: HSALNT0367056
Source: RNAcentral